AAGAUACUCCCUCCACCCGGAAAUACUUGUCCUAGAAAUGGAUGUAUCUAGACUUAUUUUAGUUAAAGAUACAUCCAUUGUAUACAUUUUUAGGACAAGUAUUUCUAGGCGGAUGGAGUAUAAG
Molecule: non-coding RNA, 124 nt
Organism: Hordeum vulgare subsp. vulgare (domesticated barley)
Lineage: Eukaryota; Viridiplantae; Streptophyta; Magnoliopsida; Poales; Poaceae
Source: Rfam